Molecule: long non-coding RNA, 433 nt
Organism: Cygnus olor (mute swan)
Lineage: Eukaryota; Metazoa; Chordata; Aves; Anseriformes; Anatidae
Exons: 2
Source: RefSeq, a predicted model, not a curated record
UUUUGAGGGACAUGAAGUAUGAUCUCCUCCAUAUCCUCCAGAUCUUCACUUCAUCAAACUGGUAGGAGCCUGGGAAAUAGGUGAAGAGGACCUGGGGUUGAGACACAGCCUGGAAAGCACCAAGUGACAUAAAAUCCAUCCAGAAUUCUCUACGUUAAUCAACAGCAUUAAGGAGGCUCUCACCUGCCAGGAAAUGCUGAACUUUGACUUCCAUGAGAAAACAGAAAUCUGAGCGUGUAGAUCUCAUCAUGUGAACACAUCCCAGCACGGACUUGCAUGAGCUCAUUACCUGUUCUCUCUGGAGCAAUGAAGCGCAGCUUUCAAAUUGGUUUCCUGCAGUUUUGCCCUUUUUUUUAGCCAUUUCAGAGUCUCACCCAAAUGGAUAAUAAAAGAAUGUUAUGACUGUGCAUGCAAAUAUAAUUUAAGGUAACAA